This 223-nucleotide long non-coding RNA is filed under the name Salvia miltiorrhiza (redroot sage). Its description in RNAcentral is "long non-coding RNA (SMIL_LNC014221)". Lineage: Eukaryota; Viridiplantae; Streptophyta; Magnoliopsida; Lamiales; Lamiaceae. The record is from RNAcentral.
UGAAAAUCGGGUAUUUUGGGUAUUAGGGUACCCUAUUAUCUAAUUAAGCCUAAUUACCCGAAGGUAAUCAAUCUCCUACAGUCUGUCAUAAUUGAUGGCUUGAUUCAAUCAAGCUAAGUGUUUAAAGCCUAAUUUUAUUGAUUACAAUUUGAGUAAAUUGAAUAGGCAGAUGGCGUAAGUCCGAAAAAAGAGAAAGGGUGAAGCAAACCAAAAAAACAAAAAA